RNAcentral lists this ribosomal RNA (440 nucleotides) under uncultured bacterium. Its description in RNAcentral is "partial 16S ribosomal RNA". It matches the Rfam family "Bacterial small subunit ribosomal RNA", at positions 338 to 795 of the family's 1533-position model. The record is from RNAcentral.
CCUACGGGAGGCAGCAGUGGGGAAUAUUGCACAAUGGGGGGAACCCUGAUGCAGCGACGCCGCGUGAGUGAAGAAGUAUUUCGGUAUGUAAAGCUCUAUCAGCAGGGAAGAAAAUGACGGUACCUGACUAAGAAGCUCUGGCUAACUACGUGACAGCAGCCGCGGGAAUACGGAGGGGGCAAGCGUUCUACGGAUUUACUGGGUGUAAAGGGAGCGUAGACGGUUAUGCAAGUCUGAAGUGAAAGCCUAAGGCUCAACCAUGGGACUGCUUUGGAAACUGUAAAACUGGAGUGCAGGAGAGGUAAGCGGAAUUCCUGGUGUAGCGGUGAAAUGCGUAGAUAUUAGGAGGAACACCAGUGGCGAAGGCGGCUAACUGGACUGUAACUGACGUUGAGGCUCGAAGGCGUGGGGAGCAAACAGGAUUAGAUACCCUUGUAGUC